This 596-nucleotide ribosomal RNA is filed under the name uncultured cyanobacterium. RNAcentral's name for it is "bacterial SSU rRNA". It matches the Rfam family "Bacterial small subunit ribosomal RNA", at positions 8 to 649 of the family's 1533-position model. The record is from RNAcentral. Lineage: Bacteria; Bacillati; Cyanobacteriota.
AGAGUUUGAUCCUGGCUCAGGAUGAACGCUGGCGGUCUGCUUAACACAUGCAAGUCGAACGAACUCUUCGGAGUGAGUGGCGGACGGGUGAGUAACGCGUGAGAAUCUACCUGUGGGUCGGGGACAACCACUGGAAACGGUGGCUAAUACCGGAUGAGCCGAAAGGUAAAAGAUUUAUUGCCCACAGAUGAGCUCGCGUCUGAUUAGCUAGUUGGUAAGGUAAAAGCGUACCAAGGCGACGAUCAGUAGCUGGUCUGAGAGGAUGAGCAGCCACACUGGGACUGAGACACGGCCCAGACUCCUACGGGAGGCAGCAGUGGGGAAUUUUCCGCAAUGGGCGAAAGCCUGACGGAGCAAGACCGCGUGGGGGAGGAAGGUUUUUGGAUCGUAAACCCCUUUUGUCAAGGAAGAAGCUCUGACGGUACUUGACGAAUAAGCCUCGGCUAACUCCGUGCCAGCAGCCGCGGUAAUACGGAGGAGGCAAGCGUUAUCCGGAAUGAUUGGGCGUAAAGCGUCUGUAGGUGGCCAGCUAAGUCUGCUGUUAAAGAUCACAGCUCAACUGUGGGAAGGCAGUGGAAACUGGCAAGCUAGAGGUU